GGGUUGUGAGGUUAAGCGACUAAGCGUACACGGUGGAUGCCCUGGCAGUCAGAGGCGAUGAAGGACGUGCUAAUCUGCGAAAAGCGUCGGUAAGGUGAUAUGAACCGUUAUAACCGGCGAUGUCCGAAUGGGGAAACCCAGUGUGAUUCGUCACACUAUCGUUAACUGAAUACAUAGGUUAACGAGGCGAACCGGGGGAACUGAAACAUCUAAGUACCCCGAGGAAAAGAAAUCAACCGAGAUUCCCCCAGUAGCGGCGAGCGAACGGGGAGCAGCCCAGAGUCUGAAUCAGCUUGUGUGUUAGUGGAACGGUCUGGAAAGUCCGACGGUACAGGGUGAUAGUCCCGUACACCAAAAUGCACAGGUUGUGAACUCGAAGAGUAGGGCGGGACACGUGGUAUCCUGUCUGAAUAUGGGGGGACCAUCCUCCAAGGCUAAAUACUCCUGACUGACCGAUAGUGAACCAGUACCGUGAGGGAAAGGCGAAAAGAACCCCGGCGAGGGGAGUGAAAAAGAACCUGAAACCGUGUACGUACAAGCAGUGGGAGCACCUUCGGGUGUGACUGCGUACCUUUUGUAUAAUGGGUCAGCGACUUAUAUUCUGUAGCAAGGUUAACCGUAUAGGGGAGCCGCAGGGAAACCGAGUCUUAACUGGGCGUUAAGUUGCAGGGUAUAGACCCGAAACCCGGUGAUCUAGCCAUGGGCAGGUUGAAGGUUGGGUAACACUAACUGGAGGACCGAACCGACUAAUGUUGAAAAAUUAGCGGAUGACUUGUGGCUGGGGGUGAAAGGCCAAUCAAACCGGGAGAUAGCUGGUUCUCCCCGAAAGCUAUUUAGGUAGCGCCUCGUGAACUCAUCUUCGGGGGUAGAGCACUGUUUCGGCUAGGGGGUCAUCCCGACUUACCAACCCGAUGCAAACUACGAAUACCGAAGAAUGUUAUCACGGGAGACACACGGCGGGUGCUAACGUCCGUCGUGAAGAGGGAAACAACCCAGACCGCCAGCUAAGGUCCCAAAGUCAUGGUUAAGUGGGAAACGAUGUGGGAAGGCACAGACAGCCGGGAUGUUGGCUUAGAAGCAGCCAUCAUUUAAAGAAAGCGUAAUAGCUCACUGGUCGAGUCGGCCUGCGCGGAAGAUGUAACGGGGCUAAACCAUGCACCGAAGCUGCGGCAGCGACACUAUGUGUUGUUGGGUAGGGGAGCGUUCUGUAAGCCUGCGAAGGUGUGCUGUGAGGCAUGCUGGAGGUAUCAGAAGUGCGAAUGCUGACAUAAGUAACGAUAAAGCGGGUGAAAAGCCCGCUCGCCGGAAGACCAAGGGUUCCUGUCCAACGUUAAUCGGGGCAGGGUGAGUCGACCCCUAAGGCGAGGCCGAAAGGCGUAGUCGAUGGGAAACAGGUUAAUAUUCCUGUACUUGGUGUUACUGCGAAGGGGGGACGGAGAAGGCUAUGUUAGCCGGGCGACGGUUGUCCCGGUUUAAGCAUGUAGGCUGAUUAUCCGGCAAAUCCGGAUAAUCAAGGCUGAGGUGUGAUGACGAGGCACUACGGUGCUGAAGUAACAAAUGCCCUGCUUCCGGGAAAAGCCUCUAAGCAUCAGGUAACAUCAAAUCGUACCCCAAACCGACACAGGUGGUCAGGUAGAGAAUACCAAGGCGCUUGAGAGAACUCGGGUGAAGGAACUAGGCAAAAUGGUGCCGUAACUUCGGGAGAAGGCACGCUGGUGUGUAGGUGAAGCCCCUGCGGGUGGAGCUGAGACCAGUCGAAGAUACCAGCUGGCUGCAACUGUUUAUUAAAAACACAGCACUGUGCAAACACGAAAGUGGACGUAUACGGUGUGACGCCUGCCCGGUGCCGGAAGGUUAAUUGAUGGGGUUAUCCGUAAGGAGAAGCUCUUGAUCGAAGCCCCGGUAAACGGCGGCCGUAACUAUAACGGUCCUAAGGUAGCGAAAUUCCUUGUCGGGUAAGUUCCGACCUGCACGAAUGGCGUAAUGAUGGCCGUGCUGUCUCCACCCGAGACUCAGUGAAAUUGAACUCGCUGUGAAGAUGCAGUGUACCCGCGGCAAGACGGAAAGACCCCGUGAACCUUUACUAUAGCUUGACACUGAACAUUGAGCCUUGAUGUGUAGGAUAGGUGGGAGGCUUUGAAGCGUGGACGCCAGUCUGCGUGGAGCCAACCUUGAAAUACCACCCUUUAAUGUUUGAUGUUCUAACGUUGGCCCCUGACCGGGGUUGCGGACAGUGUCUGGUGGGUAGUUUGACUGGGGCGGUCUCCUCCCAAAGCGUAACGGAGGAGCACGAAGGUUAGCUAAUCCUGGUCGGACAUCAGGAGGUUAGUGCAAUGGCAUAAGCUAGCUUGACUGCGAGCGUGACGGCGCGAGCAGGUGCGAAAGCAGGUCAUAGUGAUCCGGUGGUUCUGAAUGGAAGGGCCAUCGCUCAACGGAUAAAAGGUACUCCGGGGAUAACAGGCUGAUACCGCCCAAGAGUUCAUAUCGACGGCGGUGUUUGGCACCUCGAUGUCGGCUCAUCACAUCCUGGGGCUGAAGUAGGUCCCAAGGGUAUGGCUGUUCGCCAUUUAAAGUGGUACGCGAGCUGGGUUUAGAACGUCGUGAGACAGUUCGGUCCCUAUCUGCCGUGGGCGCUGGAGAAUUGAGGGGGGCUGCUCCUAGUACGAGAGGACCGGAGUGGACGCAUCACUGGUGUUCGGGUUGUCAUGCCAAUGGCACUGCCCGGUAGCUAAAUGCGGAAGAGAUAAGUGCUGAAAGCAUCUAAGCACGAAACUUGCCCCGAGAUGAGUUCUCCCUGAGACUUUAAGUCUCCUGAAGGAACGUUGAAGACGACGACGUUGAUAGGCCGGGUGUGUAAGCGCAGCGAUGCGUUGAGCUAACCGGUACUAAUGAACCGUGAGGCUUAACCUUACAACGCCGAAG
Molecule: ribosomal RNA, 2922 nt
Filed under: Klebsiella pneumoniae
Lineage: Bacteria; Pseudomonadati; Pseudomonadota; Gammaproteobacteria; Enterobacterales; Enterobacteriaceae
Description: 23S ribosomal RNA
Rfam family: Bacterial large subunit ribosomal RNA
Source: RNAcentral